This is a non-coding RNA of Pelobates cultripes (western spadefoot toad), 642 nucleotides long. Lineage: Eukaryota; Metazoa; Chordata; Amphibia; Anura; Pelobatidae. The record is from the annotation of a GenBank genome assembly.
UGUAAAAGAACAAAAAAAGGCAGACUUAGUGUUUUAGUGACUGGAGUGUCUCUUUAAAGUAUGCAUGCAGCAUCCAAAUGAUUACAUUGUAAGUUCUCUGGCCAGAUAAUACACAUAUGCAGGGUAUAAACACUAUACCUGGUGUGACAAAAAUUAACUCUUCCCCCCCGUUGUAGAAUUACAACCCCAGUGCUGCUUUGCAAGUCUGGCCAUCCCUGUGUUUUACCAAACUACAGCUGCCUGAUGGUCUUGGUACCAUUCAUCUCUGGAUGCUACAGACAUCUCUGAAGAAGCUCUACUUUCCUGGAUUUUGAAUGUAAAAUAAUGGACAUUAUCUCGGAUUUUACUCUGAGUACUCAGGAUAUGAAUAUGUAUCUGUGAAUAUAUUUAGCCCUCUUAUUGCCAUGGGGUUUUGGCUGCAUUGAUUACUAUACAUCUAAUCCCUUGAGAUUUUACUAGGAUGCUUUUAAUGAUCCAGCUUAUUUUUUGUAAUUGUUUUUUUUUUUCUUCUUCUAAUUGAAGAUGUCACAUUUCACAGGGCAUGCUUGGCGAGAACAUAUUUUAUUAAAUUCCCAAUUAAAUUCUAGGUCUCAAAGCUCUGUAACUAAAAUGCAACUUGCUUCCAUUUAUGCUUUUCAGUUG